GUGGGGAAUCUUGCGCAAUGGGCGAAAGCCUGACGCAGCCAUGCCGCGUGAAUGAUGAAGGUCUUAGGAUUGUAAAAUUCUUUCACCGGGGACGAUAAUGACGGUACCCGGAGAAGAAGCUCCGGCUAACUUCGUGCCAGCAGCCGCGGUACUACGAAGGGGGCUAGCGUUGCUCGGAAUUACUGGGCGUAAUGGGCGCGUAGGCGGACAGCUUAGUCAGAGGUGAAAGCCCAGGGCUCAACCUUGGAAUUGCCUUUGAUACUGGCUGUCUUGAGUUUGGGAUAGGUGAGUGGAACUCCGAGUGUAGAGGUGAAAUUCGUAGAUAUUCGGAAGAACGCCAGUGGCGAAGGCGACUCACUGGCCCAAUACUGACGCUGAGGCGCGAAAGCGUGGGGAGCAAACAGGAUUAGAAACCCGGGUAGUCC
RNAcentral lists this ribosomal RNA (425 nucleotides) under uncultured bacterium. RNAcentral describes it as "partial 16S ribosomal RNA". It matches the Rfam family "Bacterial small subunit ribosomal RNA", at positions 354 to 796 of the family's 1533-position model. The record is from RNAcentral.